Long non-coding RNA from Stegostoma tigrinum, 1466 nucleotides. RefSeq lists it as uncharacterized. The record is from RefSeq and is a predicted model, not a curated record. The transcript is spliced from 3 exons. Lineage: Eukaryota; Metazoa; Chordata; Chondrichthyes; Orectolobiformes; Stegostomatidae.
UAGAUGCUAUCUGACCUGCUGCGAUCUCCAGCCUUGGAUGUUUUCAGUAAUCAAAGGAUUUGGAUUUGAAAUAUUUGGAUAAAAAGUCAGUUGGAGGUUACAGAUGAUGCAGACUGAAUAAAUACUGGGAAGAAAACUGGAAGAAUUCUCUGAAUAAUUGCCAUGAGACUUUUUCCAUCCAUCUGAAAAGAUAGACCAGGGUCUCAUUUAAGGUCUCAGCUGAGGAAUGGCAAAUCAGGCAGUGUGGCAAUCCUUCAGUACAGUUGGAAGGUUGAACCCAAAGCCUUCUGAUGCAGAGAAAGAAUUGCUACCACUCAGCAAAGCUGUCAAAAUGAGCUCACAACUUUUACAGGGCUGAAGUUUGCUCUAUUACCCCACCUGCUGCUUGCAAGGCGCUGAACAUUUCCUGACUGUUCAUGGUCCCCGAUCCAUCCUUAUCGAACUGAUUGAAAACUCGCUGAAGAAAAUGAAGUGAAAAAGAUUAAUUGCUGCAAAAGUGGUCAACUUUAUGUUAGAAUUUGUUUGACUGAUAAAAUUGGUUUGUAGCAUUUCGUUCAGAAUUUGCUUGCAUUAAUUAUGGUACUUUCCUGCAUUUCCCAAAAGAUGUCAGCAUUAAUACACAACCUGACAUAAGGUGGUGGCUGAUUUACUGAUGAUCUGUCAGUAUGACGCUGUAAUAUUUAUGUUGGCUCUCACAAUGGAAAGAUGAGGUGUAGGUCAUGUCCUACUGAAGAAUUGAAUGAAAUUUUAUUACAGCACCUGGUAUCUGUCUAUGUGCAAAGCAAACACAGGCACGUCUGGGCUCAAGCUAAGCAAUUCUGAUUUAUCAUGGCACAAUUCCCUCGGCUUGUCAUGUUACAAAAACGCAGAGCUCAGUAGGAUCGAGAAUUUAAAAUCAUAAUUUAGACAUCAGGCAACUUGGCACCUUCUAAAUUGUGUCUUCUGAUUACCAGCCUUCUGUACAGUAAAUAGGGGAAGACUGUUCAAAUUUUUAUAAUGUAUCUUAAUAAUUUUAAACACCUCUUAAAUUGAAUGUAUUCUUCACUGCUCCAAGUAGUCUCCUCCCCUGUAGAGCACAGCUGGAGUGCAAAUACAGUAGAACAUAGAACAUUACAGCACAGUACAGGCCCUUCGGCCCUCAAUGUUGUGCCGACCUGUCAUACCAAUCUGAAGCCCAUCUAACCUACACUAUUCCAUGUACGUCCAUAUGCUUGUCCAGUGACGACUUAAAUGUACUUAAAGUUGGCAAAUCUACUACCAUUGCAGGCAAAGCGUUCCAUACCCUUACUACUCAGAGUAAAGAAUCUUGAGAGGCCUAGAAUAUAAAAGUAGGAAUGUACUUCUGAGGCUUUGUGAAGCUCUGGUCAGACCACAUUUAGAGUACUGUGUGCAAUUUUGGGCUCUAUACCUUUCGGAAAGAUGUAGUGGCCCUGGAGCAGGUCCAGAGAAGGUUAACGAGAAUUAUC